AGGCAUGCUGGAGGUAUCAGAAGUGCGAAUGCUGACAUAAGUAACGAUAAAGCGGGUGAAAAGCCCGCUCGCCGGAAGACCAAGGGUUCCUGUCCAACGUUAAUCGGGGCAGGGUGAGUCGACCCCUAAGGCGAGGCCGAAAGGCGUAGUCGAUGGGAAACAGGUUAAUAUUCCUGUACUUGGUGUUACUGCGAAGGGGGGACGGAGAAGGCUAUGUUGGCCGGGCGACGGUUGUCCCGGUUUAAGCGUGUAGGCUGGUUUUCCAGGCAAAUCCGGAAAAUCAAGGCUGAGGCGUGAUGACGAGGCACUACGGUGCUGAAGCAACAAAUGCCCUGCUUCCAGGAAAAGCCUCUAAGCAUCAGGUAACAUCAAAUCGUACCCCAAACCGACACAGGUGGUCAGGUAGAGAAUACCAAGGCGCUUGAGAGAACUCGGGUGAAGGAACUAGGCAAAAUGGUGCCGUAACUUCGGGAGAAGGCACGCUGAUAUGUAGGUGAAGUCCCUCGCGGAUGGAGCUGAAAUCAGUCGAAGAUACCAGCUGGCUGCAACUGUUUAUUAAAAACACAGCACUGUGCAAACACGAAAGUGGACGUAUACGGUGUGACGCCUGCCCGGUGCCGGAAGGUUAAUUGAUGGGGUCAGCGCAAGCGAAGCUCUUGAUCGAAGCCCCGGUAAACGGCGGCCGUAACUAUAACGGUCCUAAGGUAGCGAAAUUCCUUGUCGGGUAAGUUCCGACCUGCACGAAUGGCGUAAUGAUGGCCAGGCUGUCUCCACCCGAGACUCAGUGAAAUUGAACUCGCUGUGAAGAUGCAGUGUACCCGCGGCAAGACGGAAAGACCCCGUGAACCUUUACUAUAGCUUGACACUGAACAUUGAGCCUUGAUGUGUAGGAUAGGUGGGAGGCUUAGAAGUGUGGACGCCAGUCUGCAUGGAGCCGACCUUGAAAUACCACCCUUUAAUGUUUGAUGUUCUAACGUUGACCCGUAAUCCGGGUUGCGGACAGUGUCUGGUGGGUAGUUUGACUGGGGCGGUCUCCUCCUAAAGAGUAACGGAGGAGCACGAAGGUUGGCUAAUCCUGGUCGGACAUCAGGAGGUUAGUGCAAUGGCAUAAGCCAGCUUGACUGCGAGCGUGACGGCGCGAGCAGGUGCGAAAGCAGGUCAUAGUGAUCCGGUGGUUCUGAAUGGAAGGGCCAUCGCUCAACGGAUAAAAGGUACUCCGGGGAUAACAGGCUGAUACCGCCCAAGAGUUCAUAUCGACGGCGGUGUUUGGCACCUCGAUGUCGGCUCAUCACAUCCUGGGGCUGAAGUAGGUCCCAAGGGUAUGGCUGUUCGCCAUUUAAAGUGGUACGCGAGCUGGGUUUAGAACGUCGUGAGACAGUUCGGUCCCUAUCUGCCGUGGGCGCUGGAGAACUGAGGGGGGCUGCUCCUAGUACGAGAGGACCGGAGUGGACGCAUCACUGG
Molecule: ribosomal RNA, 1461 nt
Filed under: Escherichia coli
Lineage: Bacteria; Pseudomonadati; Pseudomonadota; Gammaproteobacteria; Enterobacterales; Enterobacteriaceae
Description: partial 23S ribosomal RNA
Rfam family: Bacterial large subunit ribosomal RNA
Source: RNAcentral